GUAGGUGGCAAGCGUCGUCCGGAAUUAUUGGGCGUAAAGCGCGCGCAGGCGGUUCUUUAAGUCUGAUGUGAAAGCCCACGGCUCAACCGUGGAGGAUCAUUGGAAACUGGAGAACUUGAGUACAGAAGAGGAAAGCGGAAUUCCACGUGUAGCGGUGAAAUGCGUAGAGAUGUGGAGGAACACCAGUGGCGAAGGCGGCUUUCUGGUCUGUAACUGACGCUGAGGCGCGAAAGCGUGGGGAGCAAACAGGAUUAGAUACCCUGGUAGUCCACGCCGUAAACGAUGAGUGCUAAGUGUUAGGGGGGUUUCCGCCCCCCUUAGUGCUGCAGCUAACGCAUUAAGCACUCCGCCUGGGAGUACGGCCGCAAGGCUG
RNAcentral lists this ribosomal RNA (373 nucleotides) under uncultured organism. RNAcentral's name for it is "partial 16S ribosomal RNA". It matches the Rfam family "Bacterial small subunit ribosomal RNA", at positions 527 to 896 of the family's 1533-position model. The record is from RNAcentral.